This 662-nucleotide ribosomal RNA is filed under the name uncultured bacterium. RNAcentral describes it as "bacterial SSU rRNA". It matches the Rfam family "Bacterial small subunit ribosomal RNA", at positions 94 to 788 of the family's 1533-position model. The record is from RNAcentral.
AGUGGCGGACGGGUGAGUAACGCGUGAGAAUCUGCCUUCAGGUCGGGGACAACAGAGGGAAACUUCUGCUAAUCCCGGAUGAGCCUUAGGGUAAAAAAUUUAUUGCCUGGAGAUGAGCUCGCGUCUGAUUAGCUAGUUGGUAAGGUAAAAGCUUACCAAGGCAACGAUCAGUAGCUGGUCUGAGAGGAUGAGCAGCCACACUGGGACUGAGACACGGCCCAGACUCCUACGGGAGGCAGCAGUGGGGAAUUUUCCGCAAUGGGCGAAAGCCUGACGGAGCAAGACCGCGUGGGGGAGGAAGGCUCUAGGGUUGUAAACCCCUUUUUCUUUGGGAAGAACAAAAUGACGGUACCAAAGGAAUCAGCCUCGGCUAACUCCGUGCCAGCAGCCGCGGUAAUACGGAGGAGGCAAGCGUUAUCCGGAAUGAUUGGGCGUAAAGCGUCCGCAGGUGGCAAUGUAAGUCUGCUGUCAAAACCCAGGGCUCAACUCUGGUCAGGCAGUGGAAACUACAUAGCUAGAGUUCGGUAGGGGCAAAGGGAAUUCCCGGUGUAGCGGUGAAAUGCGUAGAGAUCGGGAAGAACAUCGGUGGCGAAAGCGCUUUGCUAGACCGAAACUGACACUCAGGGACGAAAGCUAGGGGAGCGAAUGGGAUUAGAUACCCC